UACAGAGGGAGCAAGCGUUGUUCGGAAUUACUGGGCGUAAAGGGCGCGUAGGCGGUUCGAUAAGUCCCGUGUGAAAUCCCUCGGCUCAACUGAGGAAUGGCACGGGAAACUGACGGGCUUGAGUUCGGGAGAGGGAAGCGGAAUUCCGGGUGUAGCGGUGAAAUGCGUAGAUAUCCGGAGGAACACCGGUGGCGAAGGCGGCUUCCUGGACCGACACUGACGCUGAGGCGCGAAAGCUAGGGGAGCAAACGGG
This 253-nucleotide ribosomal RNA is filed under the name uncultured bacterium. RNAcentral describes it as "partial 16S ribosomal RNA". It matches the Rfam family "Bacterial small subunit ribosomal RNA", at positions 524 to 776 of the family's 1533-position model. The record is from RNAcentral.